GAUGAACGCUGGCGGCGUGCCUAAUACAUGCAAGUCGAGCGAACGGACGAGAAGCUUGCUUCUCUGAUGUUAGCGGCGGACGGGUGAGUAACACGUGGAUAACCUACCUAUAAGACUGGGAUAAAUUCGGGAAACCGGAGCUAAUACCGGAUAAUAUUUUGAUCCGCAUGGUUCAAAAGUGAAAGACGGUCUUGCUGUCACUUAUAGAUGGAUCCGCGCUGCAUUAGCUAGUUGGUAAGGUAACGGCUUACCAAGGCAACGAUGCAUAGCCGACCUGAGAGGGUGAUCGGCCACACUGGAACUGAGACACGGUCCAGACUCCUACGGGAGGCAGCAGUAGGGAAUCUUCCGCAAUGGGCGAAAGCCUGACGGAGCAACGCCGCGUGAGUGAUGAAGGUCUUCGGAUCGUAAAACUCUGUUAUUAGGGAAGAACAUAUGUGUAAGUAACUGUGCACAUCUUGACGGUACCUAAUCAGAAAGCCACGGCUAACUACGUG
Molecule: ribosomal RNA, 497 nt
Filed under: uncultured bacterium
Lineage: Bacteria
Description: partial 16S ribosomal RNA
Rfam family: Bacterial small subunit ribosomal RNA
Source: RNAcentral